UGAAGUUUCUCCUGUAAGUUGUUCUCCAUCACUAGUUAAUACAGUUAGUCUGUAUAUCCCAGAAUCCUCCAGUCUCAGGUUCCAGAGCUCCAGAGCGAAAGUGUUUCUGUCAAAACUGACUCUGUCUCUGUAUGCUGAGACUAUUAUAGUUGAAUCAGACACUGCUGUCAAUAUCAGAGUUGAUCCAAAGCGCCACUGAAUUGUAAUAAUUGAUGUGGAGGGCGGGUUAACAGGAACAAACACCACACUUCCUCCUACUGCUCCAUUAGUCGGAGCAGAAAUCUGCAGAUCUUCACUUAGAAACAGACC
This is a long non-coding RNA of Carassius gibelio (silver crucian carp), 309 nucleotides long. RefSeq lists it as uncharacterized. The transcript is spliced from 2 exons. The record is from RefSeq and is a predicted model, not a curated record. NCBI's taxonomy places the organism in Eukaryota, Metazoa, Chordata, Actinopteri, Cypriniformes, Cyprinidae.